Molecule: ribosomal RNA, 263 nt
Filed under: uncultured bacterium
Lineage: Bacteria
Description: partial 16S ribosomal RNA
Rfam family: Bacterial small subunit ribosomal RNA
Source: RNAcentral
CUUAGUGGCGGACGGGUGAGUAACGCGUGGGUAACCUGCCCUAUACUGGGGGAUAACAGCUAGAAAUGGCUGCUAAUACCGCAUGAGCGCACAGUCCCGCAUGGGACAGUGCGGAAAACUCCGGUGGUAUAGGAUGGACCCGCGUCCGAUCAGCUGGUUGGUGGGGUAACGGCCCACCAAGGCGACGAUCGGUAGCCGACCUGAGAGGGUGACCGGCCACAUUGGGACUGAGACACGGCCCAAACUCCUACGGAAGGCAGCAG